UUCCGCGCUGGCCCCGUGUAUAAGUCUCCUGGAAGGSAGCGUCGUAGAGGGUGAGAAUCCCGUCUUUGACACGGACUACCAGUGCUAUGUGAUGCGCUCUCGACGAGUCGAGUUGUUUGGGAAUGCAGCUCAAAACGGGUGGUAAACUCCAUCUAAAGCUAAAUACAGGCGAGAGACCGAUAGCGAACAAGUACCGUGAGGGAAAGAUGAAAAGAACUUUGGAAAGAGAGUUAAACAGUACGUGAAAUUGCUGAAAGGGAAACGCUUGAUGUCAGUCGCGUUGGCUGGGGAUCAACCUUGCUUCUCGCUGGGUGUACUUCCCGGUCGACGGGUCAGCAUCAGUUUCAGUCACCGUACAAGGGUGAGAGGAACGUGGCACUCCUCGGAGUGUGUUAUAGCCUUUCCUCGUAUGCGGUGGUCGGGACUGAGGUGCUCAGCACGGCUUCUUGCUUGUGCUCAGGAUGCUGGCAUAAUGGCCUUAAGCGACCCGUCUGGAAAACACGGACCAU
This 509-nucleotide ribosomal RNA is filed under the name Butyriboletus regius. RNAcentral describes it as "eukaryotic LSU rRNA". It matches the Rfam family "Eukaryotic large subunit ribosomal RNA", at positions 163 to 669 of the family's 3401-position model. The record is from RNAcentral. Lineage: Eukaryota; Fungi; Basidiomycota; Agaricomycetes; Boletales; Boletaceae.